CUUAGCUCAGUGGUAGAGCGCGUGGCUUUUAACCACGUGGUCGUGGGUUCGAUCUCGAUCCCCACAG
This is a non-coding RNA of Capsicum annuum, 67 nucleotides long. NCBI's taxonomy places the organism in Eukaryota, Viridiplantae, Streptophyta, Magnoliopsida, Solanales, Solanaceae. The record is from Rfam.